AAACUUUCAACAACGGAUCUCUUGGUUCCGGCAUCGAUGAAGAACGCAGCGAAAUGCGAUACGUAAUGCGAAUUGCAAAUUCAGUGAAUCAUCGAGUCUUUGAACGCACAUUGCGCCCCCUGAUAUUCCGUGGGGCAUGCCUGUCCGAGCGUCAUU
Molecule: ribosomal RNA, 156 nt
Filed under: Penicillium roqueforti
Lineage: Eukaryota; Fungi; Ascomycota; Eurotiomycetes; Eurotiales; Aspergillaceae
Description: 5.8S ribosomal RNA
Rfam family: 5.8S ribosomal RNA
About the family: 5.8S ribosomal RNA (5.8S rRNA) is a component of the large subunit of the eukaryotic ribosome. It is transcribed by RNA polymerase I as part of the 45S precursor that also contains 18S and 28S rRNA.
Source: RNAcentral